GAGGGGAGAGGAGCAAAUGGUUAUUCUCAGGCGCUCCCUCUACUACAAACUUGGAGCAGAGGCCUUUGAGCUAAUUAAUUACAUUCUGUAUAUCUGAGCCAGCUAGCAGAGCUCCUCGCUGACACUCGGAUACAUCUGGGCCUGAUAACAAUUGCAAAUACUCAGGGCACACUUUAGGGGGAAAAAAAAAAAAGGCUUAUGUUACAAUGUGCAACAGCACGUUGUACAGUCCUCGGAUCGGUCAGAUAAAUAAAACAGCUCGAGUCCAGGGCUUGGUGGGGGGAAACGUACUUGGUAACAUUUCACCUAGAGCAGAAAAAUUUCCCCACUGACAAGGGACCAGUUUGACCCGAAGACAAUGUUCAGUUCCUCCGAGGGACAGUUUUGGAGAUUUGGGUCCGACGUGGGAACGUAGAAGAGAAUUUACAAGAAGCUCCUUCUGCGCACCCAUCCGAGGAGAGGGUGUAGACAUGAAGAGACUGAGUGUUCCUCGGCCGCGUUCGGGGAAGCAAAUAAACACGGAUUUUCUUGAGGAAAACGAAUGGGCCCCAGAGACCACGUUUCAUGCCUUACUGAACCCCCGACUCACUCGCUUCGAAGGCCAUCUGUCCUUGAGACAAAAAGACCACUUUUUUGGUAAAUGCCGUUGUUGGUGUGCGAAUCCUGGAAGGAGCCAAGAUUUGGGAAAAUUGUCUCUGUCACCUUCUAAACUACUCUUCAUAUCAAGUAACACCCAACUCAUGGGAUUGGGACACGUUUUGUGCUCGAAUGACCGACAUCAUAAUAACGGACGACGGCGAUUCUUAGCCCUCCGUCCACCUCUUCACGUAGCGUCCGUACUUUCUAAGCCUUAUUUUGAAGGAGGUUUAAUUUCUGCAGAACAGUACCAAGCAGAGAGAACUGUGGAUCUUCACUCACAAGAAAGUCAAAUAACAACCAAACUGCUUUACUGAGACCUAUCCUGUUUGAGGCACUGUUAUGUUUAGUAUUAAGAAGGUCUAAGUUUUCUCAUCUUUAAAUGGGAAAUAUGAAACUCAAAGAAGUUAACAGCCACAUGCCCAAAGUCAAUCAGUCAGUAGGCCAAAAAUACUGAUUGAGAGCUGAGAAUUUGCCCCAAAUAUUUUCACUAAAAAUGCGUGAUCGAGUAACACAAAGACAAAUAAUUUGACUAUGCUACAUGAUUGGCUAUUUUAACUGCUAAGCAGAUACAUUGUGCCUUAUGAACACAGCCAUUCAUUGCAAGGGGCGCCUGGAUGGCUCAGUCGGUUGAGCAUCUGAUUCGGCUCAGGUCAUGAUCUCGCCAUUGGUGAGUUCGAGCCCCACGUCAGGCUCUGUGCUGACAGCUCGGAGCCUGGAGCCUGCUUCGGAUUCCGUAUCUCCCUCUCUCUCUGCCCCUAUCCUGCUCAUGCUCUGUCUCUCUCUGUCUCUCAAAAAUGAAUAAAGUUUAAAAAAUUAAAAAAAAACAUUUUCUUUUAAAUAACUUAUGAAAUCAAAUAACAAACAGUGGACUAUGAAUACAUAGGUAAAAAUAUUUAUUUCAGCAACUCUGAUGUUCAGUGUUGCUACAUGAUUAGGUGAUUUUGAAAGGAAGGAUAUAUUUUCAGGUAAGUUUAUAAUUGGUUGCUCUGGCUAGGUUCCAAGCUUACUUGAUGAUGUGAUCUUUUUGUUUGUUUGUUUGUUUGUUUGUUUCUUAGACAAAAUCAAGUUCAAAUGUUGCCUACCUUGCUCACGUAGACUUUCGCUCUUCCGAAUGAUUUUAAGUGUACACCUUUGAGGAAGGAAGGCUAACACAUUUACUUAACCUCAUCCUUGAAUGCCUAGAAGGAUAAAAAUGUUACGAUUGACCAAUGGCCACAAAUAUUACUCGUUCAGUCUCGCAACCAUGUAGGACGGUGGUGGUGCGGUAGAGAAAGGAAAGCCAUGGUCAAAAUUGUAGCCUCCUCGGAGCCAUGUUCAAACUCAAAAUCCUUUAAAGUUGUACUUGCUACAUCCCAUCUCUCUUGAAUUAUCAAUGGUAAUUUACUGGUCUUUCAACAUCAUAGACUCAUGUUGUGAGCUUUUGAAAGCCAUUAUUAUAUGCUCAGUGUUUAGGGGGAAAUGAAAUCUUGCCUUAGUGAUUGUACCACAGAGGGCAAUUGCAAAGACAUGCAGCCUGACAAAGCACACGUCCUGUGGAUCUAGUAUCUUAUUCCUUUGCAGUUGGGACCCCAGAUUCUAGAAUAUUCCCUUGUGUUGUCCCUGGGGAAUUUUCAUUUCCCACUGGCUAUUUCAUGCCAUCCUGAGCAUUUAGCAGAACACCAAACCCAGACUGUCAGACUGGGGAUGUCUUCCUAUCACUGAACAAAACUAUUUGGGAUUUGUUUGGGCUUAGGACAGAAAUGGGCAGCUGGGAGGCAUUUUGGUCAAGGAGAAAAAUGACACGUUUCUGAAGUGGGAUGAUAGAUUGGGAAGCCCACAGAUCUUUGUUUCAUUUUUCCUUUCUGGGAAGGAAAAAAAAAAAAAAGGAAGAAAGAAAUACCAAUCAAUUGUCCCAACGAACUAAAAAUGAAGCCUAUGGGCUGUUUCCCCACCCUGAAUUUACGGAGGCAUAAUAAUUCUAGUUAACUAUACACAUACUCUUAAAAAUCCAGGUUCUCUGUUCAAAAAGCUUGUAGGGGUUGAACAUAAAAAACUUUCUGAUAUACAAGUACCAAAUACACGGCAGUGAUAAAAUUCUUGCACUGGGUUAACUACACAUUUUGCUAAUAAUGUUGGAUGACACAAUCCAUGAACAUCACCGGCAGGCUGGAUUUUGGCACGAGCACAAAGGUUUUAUUAAACACGUGCUGCCAGUGAAACAUGGCUUGCUUACUCAUGACCAGGCAGCCGUGUUUUAUAUAUAUUUAUGUGUAUAUACAUACGGAUAUACACAUACACACACAGUCCAGAUCGCUCCCUUGAUUUCCCACAGUCCUUCUGAUAACUAUCUUACAGAUCAGGAAAACUAUCUCUCUUCUCAGCCAGAUUUUGUGUGGGUUCCUCUGUGUGUCAAAUGGAAACAACCACAAAAUUUAACCUUCCUUUACCCUGCUAAAAAUACGUGUUCACAGAAGUUGUCAGGUUCUCUGAAUGCCUGAUAACCCUGCCCAUUGAUGGGUUGCAGAGGUGACCGCAUGUGAAACUGCAGUGUGACACAAGUGUGAAUAGUGACUUCAAGGAGCAGGAGAAGAAAUGCAUCUUGAACUUUCCUGAGUGAUCGUCCCUCAGAAAAAAAAAACGAUGGGGGAUGGCUGGUGCAUCUCUGAGCCUUCACAAGGAGCAUGUAAGAUGAUCUUCUGUUGGACUAAAAUUAUUUUUUCGAUUUUCAGCUCUUCCUUUAAAAAUGUAUACAUUUCGGGGCGCCUGGGUGGCUCAGUCGGUUGGGCGUCCGACUUUGGCUCAGGUCAUGAUCUCGUGGUCCGUGAGUUCGAGUCCUGCGUCGGGCUCUGGGCUGACAGCUCAGAGCCUGGAGCCUGCUUCUGAUUCUGUGUCUCCCUCUCUCUCUGACCCUCCCCUGCUCAUGCUGUGUCUCUCUGUCUCAAAGAUAAGUAAAUGUUAAAAAAAAUGUAUACAUUUAGGUAAGGUUUCAUAUACAUGUAGAUACACAUUAAUAUCUACGUACAUAAUAUACAGACAAAUACAUAGUGUGGGUAAUGUUUUUAAAAAGUUUACGGAUGGGGGGAUCUCAUUAAGAAAUCUUUAGAUAAUAUCACCUAUGAAUUUUAGACUGUUUUAUUUGCCUACUUCAAUUCGUACGUGUUGCAUAUUUCUAAAUGUCAGGAAAGUAUGUCUCUUAAUUUGUAGCUGACUCUUUUCAAUGAGAAGUUCUUCUCCCCACGUCAAGCGAAGAAACAGCAUUAUGACUGGGAAAAGCUAGGGGCCUCAGAUCGCCUUUUCUUAGAAGAAUCACUGCUCACACCUGCUGCAGUGAGGAUCCAUUUUUUCAAAGACAGAACUGAUGGAACAGAGCAUGGCAGUGAGCAGUAGGCUCGUCCUGAUAGGCAUGCCAACUGUCUGCUGUAGGGAAACCCAACAACAGUCAACAUGUGGAUGCCCAAGAAGAUGAGUGAAGCUGGUCAUCUCCAGGGUCUGGAGCUCAGCUCCUGAAGACAAGGAGAAAAACAUGGGGCUUGGGCGGCAGAUCCUGGGGAACCACCAAGGCAACGGGACUUCUUUGAAGGUAAAGCUAGAAAUCCAGUGCCUGUGUUGGAAGGAAUGAGGCUCCAGAAUAGUGAGGCCGGGGCUCUGGUCAAAAAUGGAAACCCCAGGGCCCCUAGGUGGCUCAGUCGGCUAAGCUUCCAGCUCUUGAUUUCCGCUCAGGUCAUGAUCUCACGGCUCCUGAGAUGGAGCCCUGGAUUGGGCUCUGUGCUGACAGCGUGGAACUUGCUUGGGAUUCUCUCUGUCUCCUUUCCCUCUGCCCCUCCCCCAUUUGUGCUCUCCCUUUCUCAAAGUAAAUAAGUAAAGUGGGAAAAAAAAAAAAGGAAACCCAGGGGUGCCUGGGUGGCUCAGCUGGUUAAGCGUGGAACUUCAGCUCAGAUCAUGAUCUCACAGUUGGUGGGUUCGAGCACCGCUUAGGGCUCUGUGCCAACGGCUCAGAGCCUGGAGCCUGCUUCAAAUUCUGUGUCUGCCCCUCCCCCAUUCUCCCUGUCUCUCAAAAGUAAACAUUAAAGGAAAAAAAUUAAAGAAAAAAAAGGAAACCCAGCUGAAAAUGGGACACAGGCAAAACGUUAGCGUUCUUACCUUAUCCUUCAUUUUUACAUGUUGACGUAUGUUGAGAGAUUCCUUGCUCCAGGAACCAAGCUAGGUAUGGAUACAGUGGGGAACAAAAGUGAACACGAUCACUCUUAUAUCAGAGUUUACCUCUUAGAGGGAAGUCAAGAAUAAUAAAAUCUCUAUGUUGAUAAACAGAAAAAAAAAAAGUGAUCUAAUUCCAUACAAUAAAGGGAACUGGCCCAUAACUUUUGUUGGAAAAUGGAUGCUGAGGGGUUACCUUACGGUACCAUUUACUAUGACGGGCUUUUAAAAUAA
Long non-coding RNA from Acinonyx jubatus (cheetah), 5046 nucleotides. RefSeq lists it as uncharacterized. Lineage: Eukaryota; Metazoa; Chordata; Mammalia; Carnivora; Felidae. The record is from RefSeq and is a predicted model, not a curated record. The transcript has 7 exons.